CCUACGGGGCGCAGCAGUGAGGAAUAUUGGUCAAUGGACGAGAGUCUGAACCAGCCAAGUAGCGUGAAGGAUGACUGCCCUAUGGGUUGUAAACUUCUUUUAUAUGGGAAUAAAACGUUCCACGUGUGGGAUUUUGUAUGUACCAUAUGAAUAAGAAUCGGCUAACUCCGUGCCAGCAGCCGCGGUAAUACGGAGGAUCCGAGCGUUAUCCGGAUUUAUUGGGUUUAAAGGGAGCGUAGGUGGAUUGUUAAGUCAGUUGUGAAAGUUUGCGGCUCAACCGUAAAAUUGCAGUUGAAACUGACAGUCUUGAGUACAGUAGAGGUGGGCGGAAUUCGUGGUGUAGCGGUGAAAUGCUUAGAUAUCACGAAGAACUCCGAUUGCGAAGGCAGUUCACUGGACUGCAACUGACACUGAGGCUCGAAAGUGUGGGUAUCAAACAGGAUUAGAUACCCCAGUAGUC
RNAcentral lists this ribosomal RNA (460 nucleotides) under uncultured bacterium. RNAcentral's name for it is "partial 16S ribosomal RNA". It matches the Rfam family "Bacterial small subunit ribosomal RNA", at positions 338 to 795 of the family's 1533-position model. The record is from RNAcentral.